AAACAUGUCUCUUUGAAAUUAAAAUAUAAAGAGUCGAGCCUGCCCAGUGAAUAUUUUAACGGCCGCGGUACUUUGACCGUGCAAAGGUAGCAUAAUCAUUUGCCUUAUAAUUGAAGGCUUGUAUGAAGGGUUUGACAAAAGCAAGACUGUCUCUUUAAAAUUCUUUAGAAUUUAGUUUUUAGGUGAAGAAACCUAAAUAUUAUUGAUAGACAAGAAGACCCUAUCGAGCUUAAAAUAAAUUUAUUAAUUUUUAUUUUGUUUAAUAAAGUAUUUUAGUUGGGGCGACUAAGGAACAUAUAGAGCUUCCUUAAUAAUGUAAAAUUUAUUAAUAUUGAUCCAAAAAAUUUGAUUAAAAGAAUUAGUUACCGUAGGGAUAACAGCAUAAUUUUUUUUGAGAGUUCUUAUCGAAAAGAAAGUUUGUGACCUCGAUGUUGGAUUAAGAUUUCCUAAAGAUGCAGCAGUCUUUUAGGUUGGUCUGUUCGACCAUUAAAAUCUUACAUGAUCUGA
Molecule: ribosomal RNA, 507 nt
Filed under: Anabathron hedleyi
Lineage: Eukaryota; Metazoa; Mollusca; Gastropoda; Littorinimorpha; Anabathridae
Description: partial 16S ribosomal RNA
Rfam family: Bacterial large subunit ribosomal RNA
Source: RNAcentral